Molecule: ribosomal RNA, 573 nt
Filed under: uncultured Microbacterium sp.
Lineage: Bacteria; Bacillati; Actinomycetota; Actinomycetes; Micrococcales; Microbacteriaceae
Description: bacterial SSU rRNA
Rfam family: Bacterial small subunit ribosomal RNA
Source: RNAcentral
GGCUUGACAUAUACGAGAACGGGCCAGAAAUGGUCAACUCUUUGGACACUCGUAAAACAGGUGGUGCAUGGUUGUCGUCAGCUCGUGUCGUGAGAUGUUGGGUUAAGUCCCGCAACGAGCGCAACCCUCGUUCUAUGUUGCCAGCACGUAAUGGUGGGAACUCAUGGGAUACUGCCGGGGUCAACUCGGAGGAAGGUGGGGAUGACGUCAAAUCAUCAUGCCCCUUAUGUCUUGGGCUUCACGCAUGCUACAAUGGCCGGUACAAAGGGCUGCAAUACCGCGAGGUGGAGCGAAUCCCAAAAAGCCGGUCCCAGUUCGGAUUGAGGUCUGCAACUCGACCUCAUGAAGUCGGAGUCGCUAGUAAUCGCAGAUCAGCAACGCUGCGGUGAAUACGUUCCCGGGUCUUGUACACACCGCCCGUCAAGUCAUGAAAGUCGGUAACACCUGAAGCCGGUGGCCUAACCCUUGUGGAGGGAGCCGUCGAAGGUGGGAUCGGUAAUUAGGACUAAGUCGUAACAAGGUAGCCGUACCGGAAGGUGCGGCUGGAUCACCUCCUUAAGCUUGGAUCCCGGG